GUAGGUGAACCUGCGGAAGGAUCAUUAACGAAACGUACCCUCGGGGGGUUGUGCUGGCCUCGCGCAAGUGCACGCCCCCUCUGGCCGUCCGUCCUUCACACCCGUGCACUCACCCGUCGGACAGGGGUGGCCUCCGGGCCCUCCGGUCCGGCGCUUUCACAUCAGCCUACGAACGUACGUCGAAUGCAUUAUUGCGCGCGCGCAACCGAAAUACAACUUUUAACAACGGAUCUCUUGGUUCUC
This 243-nucleotide unclassified non-coding RNA is filed under the name rhizosphere metagenome. RNAcentral describes it as "partial ribosomal RNA internal transcribed spacer region". The record is from RNAcentral.